Molecule: non-coding RNA, 260 nt
Organism: Schizosaccharomyces pombe (fission yeast)
Lineage: Eukaryota; Fungi; Ascomycota; Schizosaccharomycetes; Schizosaccharomycetales; Schizosaccharomycetaceae
Source: the annotation of a GenBank genome assembly
CUUCUCAGGCAUAGCGCUAAAAUAGCGAUCAAGUCUGAACCAAUAGCUCCGGCGGUGACAUAUGACUGCCAAGUAUUAUGAGGAAGGAAGAGAACCAGCUCAAUAGCAAAAGCAAGACAGGUAAGUAAUGUAGUAAUGAAAACGACUAUGAUAUUGAUGAUGUUGACAGCUUGAUUAACCAAAAAGAUGGAAAAAAAUACAAAUAUCGCACUAAGGAAUGACAAAAAGGCGCUGAUUAUAUGAGUGAUUAAGACUUUGGA